Magnolia sinica is the source of this 482-nucleotide long non-coding RNA. RefSeq lists it as uncharacterized. Lineage: Eukaryota; Viridiplantae; Streptophyta; Magnoliopsida; Magnoliales; Magnoliaceae. The record is from RefSeq and is a predicted model, not a curated record. The transcript has 3 exons.
AUCAUUUUGAGUUGGUUUAGUUACAUUUCGUUCCCAUAUGUGAAUCCAUCCAUGUUUUGGAGUUAAAGAGCUAUUUGUAAAAAGAAUCUCGUCUACAAGGAUAGUGAAGCUGUCCAUCACCACUUAUACAAUGAUUCUAACAGGAAAAUGCUGUAAAUUUGUUGAUAAUGAAGCUCGCAUGUUCAAACUCCGCAGUCUAUAUGUGAAAGAGUUGGCAAUGCUCUGGUAAUUGGCUCCCCAAAAUUGGCUACCUGUUUAGCAGAUUUUGGGUUUUUGAGUGCUCAGAGCAAGCCCCACUUGCACCAGCAUAUCAUCAACAUAAUUUGAAAUUUUUUUUGGGCCCUCAUCGAAGAAACCCACCAUGUACCAAAAACCAGGGCUUCAACAUUGAGCUAAAAUUCGAUGACAAUAUAGUCUAUCAAGAUGAAGAGCUUAUACAUGUUCUUCAAAAAAUCUUGCUGGUAACUUUUUAAAAUCAGAGA